AAAAAUUAGGGACAACCACCGAUCCUCUCCCCAAAUACCGAGGCUGAGAAGAAAAUACCGAUGACGUAAGGGAAAAUGUCGAAGGAGAGCCAAAACCCAACGAUGAAGUACCGAAUGUAGAGACAGGGGGACCACCAACAGAUCGAUCAAAGUGAUAGUAGCAUCGCUGAGCCAGAUGCCUGAUCCAUCCGUAAAUCUGAAAUUAAGGUCGGCCACGACCACGAAACGACCCAUGAUUUCUAAGAGCAAAUGAAUUGAUGACACUUGAGCUAGACGGUGUACUAACAGAAACCCUUAACGCAGAACCAGAUGAGGAAGACUGCUGGACCAGAUUGGCUUGGGGAAGAACCUCCGUCACAAAUCAUUGUUGCCACAUUUCACAUUCGAGCAAAAUUUCGAUAAGCUGAUCUAAUGCCAGGGGUUCCAGUGAAAAAGAUGCUACAGUGACGACGGAGUCAAAAUCCUGCGAAAUACCCAUAAGAACGAUGUUUGUAUGUUCUUCAGCCGAGACAGGAUAACUAGACGCAUCAAGUAAGUCACAAAUUUUCUUGAUUUGACCCAGGUAUUCUUUUACAAACUGAUAACCUUUCUUGACCGAAUGAAGCUCGUGUUUGAGAAAUCUUGGCACUGGACGUUGCGCCGAAAAGACUGCAUGCUUUACUCCAGACAUUAUGAGCCGUAGCAGUUCCUGUAAAAGAGGACAAAAACUCUCCACUGAUCGUGGAUAAGAGCCAAGAAGUAAGCAAUUUUUCUUGCUGUUGAAACAAAAGAAAAGUAGAAUUAGGAAUCGACUUCCCUUCAGCAUCGUGAACAAACUUAGAUGGGGCAGAGAUCGUCUCGUGUAUAUAAUCGGUAAGCCCAUAGGCUUCGAUAAUAAGCGUUAGCUGGUGUUGCCACUGAACGAAUGUUUUGUCGGUAAGUUUAAUAGUGUCAUGUUUGGGAAAUGAUUGAACCACUCGACAAAACUGACUUUCAUCAAGGGCAGGAGAAGAGGAGGGCUGAGGAGCAGGGGUCGGCGAAGUGACCUGAUUGGUAGACACAGCUGGAGAAACAGGAUUCAUCAAAAACAACGAAAGCAGCCCAGGUAACUAAUUAGCGACUGAUACCAUGAAAGAAUACUUAUGAAAAAAUGUGAAAUUAUUAUUGCUUGAUCUGAAUGAACACCAAUCUGAUGUAUUUAUACACAAAUAGAUUAGCUAGAUAUGCAAACUUUUUAACAGGAAUAGUUGACCUCUAAUAUUCAGCAGCUGUUAACGAUCACAUUAACAUUUUAAUGGUCAAAGGCAAAUAUUGUUGGUAAAAGGGCUUCCUUGAUUAAUAUUUAACGUUUGAGGGCUUAACUCAGUGCAUUUUUCUUGGAGAGGCUUAAUUAAUUUUUGGGUUAAUGGCAAAAACACCUCUGUACUUUAUCAAAUCUUUCAAUGUGGUAUUUACACUUUCUAUUUGUCUAAUAUGGUAUCUGAACUUUUUAUUCCAUCUAUAUUUGUAGCACCUUUGACUAACUGUGUUAAUUUCUGAUACAAGUUGACACUUGUUCCAAU
This 1541-nucleotide long non-coding RNA is filed under the name Gossypium barbadense (sea-island cotton). Its description in RNAcentral is "long non-coding RNA (GBAR_LNC017221)". Lineage: Eukaryota; Viridiplantae; Streptophyta; Magnoliopsida; Malvales; Malvaceae. The record is from RNAcentral.